This 77-nucleotide transfer RNA is filed under the name Acinetobacter baumannii. RNAcentral describes it as "tRNA-Gln". It matches the Rfam family "tRNA". From Rfam's summary of the family: Transfer RNA (tRNA) molecules are approximately 80 nucleotides in length. Lineage: Bacteria; Pseudomonadati; Pseudomonadota; Gammaproteobacteria; Moraxellales; Moraxellaceae. The record is from RNAcentral.
UUAGGGGCGUCGCCAAGUGGUAAGGCAGCGGGUUUUGAUCCCGCCAUCCGUUGGUUCAAAUCCGACCCCCGCAUCCA